UGUACACGCUGGUAAACUGCUCGGUGCGCUGGGCCUACAUGCUGGCCAUCGUUGGCAUCAUGGACGCCCUCAUCCUCUCCUUCCUGGCCUUCGUUUUGGGCAACCGGCAGAAUGACUUCCAGCUGGAGGAGCAGCUCAAAGUAGAACAGAAAGAUUUUGCAGUGUCCAGGCAUUUCCACCUUGGCUCCACUCUCAAGAUGGACAGAAUUGAAAUCCGGGAGAUCAAGGAUCCACGAUAUGGUGUCCAACUGUUCCACUGAGCAUCCCCCCCAACCUUCCCCUCCUCUCCUUCCUCUCUUCUGCUCGUCACCUCAGCUCUUCAGGUCCAACCAUCGGUCUUGAAGUGGAGGCUCCAUCCAGCUGUUUGUAAAAAUAGAAAUGAAAUGGAAGAGAAAAUAUGUCUGUUUGAAGAGAACUACGAUAAAAAUUAAUAAUAUUAUCAGCUUUAUAAAACUCUGGGAAAAUAAUAAAUGAUAUACAGUAUUAAUUAAUUAUCACAUAUUACUGUAACAAAGGUAAUUAAGUUAUUGAUGAUGAUAAUGCUUGCGGCAGGCGUAUUAUAUGAAAAUCUACAUUUUUAUCCAGACAGAUUUUCAUCUUCCCCUCUUUGUAUAUGAAGUCUGGUUCCAAGAAAUACACAAGAAAAGGUGUUUCUAUGGAAACAGGGUAAAAAUACUCAUAGCAAGUAUUACCCCAUUAUUAUCAUCCCUCCAAACCCUUUGGAAUAGCAACCUCUUUUUGAUCAGCAUCUUGGAAAAAUGUGGAUUAUCGGCAUAAUUUAUUCUCUUCCCUCCGUGUAAUUUCAUCGACCAACAUCCCAGAGCCAACAAAAGUCAUCAGGGGCAAGGACAGUGGUAAUGAUGGACCGAAUUAAUUGACAGGCAUUGAAAAGAAACAAGACCUAACUGCUCUCAGCUUUUCCAUUCUACUGAAUUUCGACCACAUAAUUGUUUUGGGCCCAUUUCUCUUACCGUCAUGUUCCAAUGGUUCUGUUUGUUCGUCCCACCAAAAGACAAAGCCCUGUAUGCUGCAUCUAACUCAGGCUUGCAAAAACGGCUUACAGUACUCUUAUGGUCUGGAGGCAACACGCUCCAUGCCUUAGACACAACAAGCUCCAUGCCUUAGACACAACAAGCUCCAUGACCUAGACACAACAAGCUCCAUGCCUUAGACACAACAAGCUCCAUGACCUAGACACAACAAGCUCCAUGACCUAGACACAACAAGCUCCAUACCUUAGACACAACAAGCUCCAUACCUUAGACACAACAAGCUCCAUACCUUAGACACAACAAGCUCCAUACCUUAGACACAACAAGCUCCAUGACCUAGACACAACAAGCUCCAUGGCCUAGACACAACAAGCUCCAUGGCCUAGACACAACAAGCUCCAUGACCUAGACACAACAAGCUCCAUGACCUAGACACAACAAGCUCCAUGACCUAGACACAACAAGCUCCAUACCUUAGACACAACAAGCUCCAUGACCUAGACACAACAAGCUCCAUGACCUAGACACAACAAGCUCCAUGGCCUAGACACAACAAGCUCCAUGACCUAGACACAACAAGCUCCAUGACCUAGACACAACAAGCUCCAUGACCUAGACACAACAAGCUCCAUACCUUAGACACAACAAGCUCCAUGACCUAGACACAACAAGCUCCAUGACCUAGACACAACAAGCUCCAUGACCUAGACACAACAAGCUCCAUGACCUAAACACAACAAGCUCCAUGACCUAGACACAACAAGCUCCAUGACCUAAACACAACAAGCUCUAUGCCUUAGAAACAACAAGCUCCAUACCUUAGACACAACAAGCUCCAUAGCAGUGUGGCCGCCAUUGAAAAAAUAGGAAAAAUAAGACUGAAUUAUGUUUUAUUUAAAAAUAUAUAAUUUUCAGGAUGGUAAAAAGUACUGUGUAAAUGUAAAUGACUAAAAGCAGAUAUAACAGAUGUAGAAAAGAUAAUGGAGAAUAUAUUUUUUUAUUAUCUAUGAGAACUAACAAUCACCUAAAUAAAAACUAUGGCGUGGGGCCACAUUGAUUUCGUUUGAGUCACUCAGAUAGCAUAAAAACACAGCAUAAUCAAUGGGAAAAUGUGUAGAACUACAUGAAAUUAGCUUUAAAACAGCAAAUUUCCUCUCAGCCCCAUGACAAAAUGUGUAUAAUUGCAUGAAAUUAGCUAUAAAACAGCAAAAGAGGCCCUCCUUUUAGAGGCCCUCCUAUUGUCUCUGCAGCCAAGAGGAGGGCCUCUAAAACCGUGCCAUUGUCUACACCCACAUUAGGUCAUGUUAGUAUUGUGGAUGCAGAUCUGAGUAUUCUCCCAGGGAGAUAAUUAAGAAUAUAUUAAUACUAUUCAACCUGUGUAGACUAGAGUAAAUUAGAGAAGAGUGUAUGUUAGUUGCUGAUACCUCAGAUGCCCAGAGAUUUUGCCCCACACUUUUCACAGAUCUUCUUACUGUAAGGCUUAGCUGCAGUCAUAGGACAUACAGACAGUUGUAGGUCCUCCCUGAAUUCUAAUCUUAAUUCUGCACCAACAUCGCACACGGUGGUUGAUUGACUCCAAAUUUUGACAAAUGAGAGCUCACCAUUUUGGGAUAUCAGAUCCCAUUUUCCGAUCCCAGAUCCCAUUUUUGGAUCUCCGAUCAAAUAAAUCCUGGAUAUCCCAGGGUU
RNAcentral lists this long non-coding RNA (2678 nucleotides) under Oncorhynchus kisutch (coho salmon). RNAcentral's name for it is "lncRNA (ENSOKIG00005042086.1)". The record is from RNAcentral. Lineage: Eukaryota; Metazoa; Chordata; Actinopteri; Salmoniformes; Salmonidae.